CUCCUACGGGAGGCAGCAGUAGGGAAUCUUCCGCAAUGGACGAAAGUCUGACGGAGCAACGCCGCGUGAACGAUGAAGGUCUUCGGAUCGUAAAGUUCUGUUGUUAGGGAAGAACAAGUACCGUACGAAYAGAGCGGUACCUUGACGGUACCUAACGAGGAAGCCCCGGCUAACUACGUGCCAGCAGCCGCGGUAAUACGUAGGGGGCAAGCGUUGUCCGGAAUUAUUGGGCGUAAAGCGCGCGCAGGUGGUUCCUUAAGUCUGAUGUGAAAGCCCACGGCUCAACCGUGGAGGGUCAUUGGAAACUGGGGAACUUGAGGACAGAAGAGGAGAGUGGAAUUCCACGUGUAGCGGUGAAAUGCGUAGAUAUGUGGAGGAACACCAGUGGCGAAGGCGACUCUCUGGUCUGUUUCUGACGCUGAGGUGCGAAAGCGUGGGUAGCAAACAGGAUUAGAUACCCUGGUAGUCCACGCCGUAAACGAUGAGUGCUAGGUGUUAGGGGGCUUCCACCCCUUAGUGCUGAAGUUAACGCAUUAAGCACUCCGCCUGGGGAGUACGGCCGCAAGGUGAAAACUCAAAGGAAUUGACGG
This 590-nucleotide ribosomal RNA is filed under the name Halobacillus sp. SP4. Its description in RNAcentral is "bacterial SSU rRNA". It matches the Rfam family "Bacterial small subunit ribosomal RNA", at positions 336 to 916 of the family's 1533-position model. The record is from RNAcentral. Lineage: Bacteria; Bacillati; Bacillota; Bacilli; Caryophanales; Bacillaceae.